AGAAAGGCAGACGGGGACUGGGCAAGGCACUGUCGGUGACAUCACGGACAGGGCGACUUCUAUGUAGAUGAGGCAGCGCAGAGGCUGCUGCUUCGCCACUUGCUGCUUCGCCACGAAGGAGUUCCCGUGCCCUGGGAGCGGGUUCAGGACCGCGGAUCGGAAAUUCUCCAGUACAAGAAGAGGUUCUCGGAGCUGGAGCAGCUGUUGGAGAGAUCCGGAGAGCUGGAGCAGCAGCAGCUGAGGGACGCAGAGCACAGCCAAGACCUGGAGAGUGCCCUCAUCUGGCUGGAGGAGGAGCAGCAGGGAGGGCCAGGGCUGGCAGCAUGGCCCCCUGGGCGAGCGCCUACUGAUCCCCUGUGCCCCAUUCAGGAGUGCCAGCCUGGCCCAGGUGAAUGCCAUGCUCUGAGAACAGCUGGACCAGGCAGGUUUGGCCAACCAGGCUCUGAGUGAGGAGAUACGAAAGGUGACCAGUGACUGGACUCGCAGCUGCAAGGAGCUGGAGCAGUGGGAGGCGGCAUGGAGGCGCGAGGAGGAGGUGGGCAUGGGGGUGCAGGGAGGCCGGCGAUAUAAGAGGAAGAUAAUGCACAAUUAUGCUAGUGAGACUCUCUUUUCCAAUAAUGUUUGCACUUCUCAAUACUACAUUUAAAAAGGAAAUAGGAGCACUUGAACGGUUAAGUAAGAAGAUGAACAAAAUUGAACAGAGGAAAAAUAACUGUCUGAAGACAUGUUGAAAAUACAUUUAAAGACAGUCUGUCUGAGACAGGAGCUGAGCUGGCCAAUCCAUCUUUUAAAUAAUUGAACAUCAUUCAGGUGUCAAGUAUUUGACCUGGAGCCUGGAAGGGGAGGAGAGAGUCCAAAAAAAAGUCAAAAUAUAAAGAAAAAAAAUUAAAGAACUUGUCCCACAAAUCAGGCAACCAAGGUCUAAACUUAUACCCUCUGCCUGGGUAAAUUGUUGUUGCUUCUUUCUGUGACUCUUAAAAGAUGUACCAUAUACCUCAUUUAAUGACUUUGCUUUAUUCAUGAAAACUCUAUCCCCAUGGGAAAAGCUGUUAAAUGAAAAAAGAUUUCUUUUAAGUAGAAAAAUUAUGAAAGGAUUCCUUCCAACCCUCCAUACCCAAAAUAUCUCAAAUGAAUUAUGUAUCUAUCAAUUAUCAAUAUAUAUCAAAAUAUACCAAUUAAAAAUAUCAGUUAAACAAUACGUCAAUUGAACUAUGAAAGCAAGCUUAUUUAAGUAGCAAAGAAUAACGUGAAGGUUAGUAAGUAUAGCUUAUACUUAAAAUACAAUGAAUUGAAAGCUCAUGGCACUUCAUAGAGUAGGAAGAAGAAACUUAAUAGAAAGUGGUAGUUGGGCGAGAAGGACUGCAAGGGAGUUAUUUGGAAAAUGCAUUUUUUAUUUCUGCAUCAUUUUGUUCACAAAUUAUUCCUAAUCUUUUGUGAAUUUGUGGAUUUCUUGAACUCAAACCAGACUUAAAAAUACAGUUAUAGCACAGAAAAAAAUCUUUAAUGGCAAAAUAAAAGCUAAGCAAGAGAGCCUUUCAAAACACAUGAAAAUAACACACACAUACAAAAAAAAAAGAAUAAAG
Homo sapiens (human) is the source of this 1583-nucleotide long non-coding RNA. The record is from Ensembl. NCBI's taxonomy places the organism in Eukaryota, Metazoa, Chordata, Mammalia, Primates, Hominidae.